Molecule: long non-coding RNA, 656 nt
Filed under: Gallus gallus (chicken)
Lineage: Eukaryota; Metazoa; Chordata; Aves; Galliformes; Phasianidae
Description: long non-coding RNA NONGGAT006875
Source: RNAcentral
GGCGUGUCUAUGGUCGUUCACCAGUCACGCUGUCGCCGGAGCAACGGCGGGAGGGAAUCGUUUAAAAUGAUGAAAAAAGGCCAGCUGAUCAUCUACGUAAACUGUAUGUCACAGUACUGCCCAGGGCUCAUCUAUGUUCAGUAAGCAAAGAGAAAUUUGCCUAGAGACAAAGCAGAACUGAAGCAAGUUUCCUGCGUGGGAGAGGUAUUUCAGUGCAGCUGUGUGCAAGAAGAGUUGGAUGGGCUUGAAAACUGGUGUGGCUUUCAUCGGCUCCCAAGUUUGGCCACGUGGUGUGCCACAGCCCUGUGGCAAGUGGAAGUGGGCAGCUCAGAUCCAGUACAGUGGAGCUGCAGAGGAUAAAGCCAACAUGGUGAAGCUGAGAAGAUACGUGCUGUCAGUCUGAAGCACCCUAGAAAUAAAAACAAGAAGGGUUUUAAAAACACGCUUUGCUUUUCCUCAAGUAUGUCGUUUCUCCACCGUUCAUUUUGCUGAAUGCACUGAUGACUGUACCUGAGGCAGAUCUACGGUUGUUUCUCAAUCCUCCCUUUCAUCAGCUUCACUUUUUAUUACCAGUCUAAAAGAAAUGUUUUCAUUUCUAUAAAGCACUGCAUAUUUUUUCAAGAUAAAUCUUAAUCAAGCAUUGACUUCAAAGUGGC